GACGAACGCUGGCGGCGUGCUUAACACAUGCAAGUCGAACGGUAAGGCCCUUCGGGGUACACGAGUGGCGAACGGGUGAGUAACACGUGGGUGAUCUGCCCUGCACUUCGGGAUAAGCCUGGGAAACUGGGUCUAAUACCGGAUAGGACCACUGCCUGCAUGGGUGGUGGUGGAAAGCUUUUGCGGUGUGGGAUGGGCCCGCGGCCUAUCAGCUUGUUGGUGGGGUGAUGGCCUACCAAGGCGACGACGGGUAGCCGGCCUGAGAGGGUGACCGGCCACACUGGGACUGAGAUACAGCCCAGACUCCUACGGGAGGCAGCAGUGGGGAAUAUUGCACAAUGGGCGCGAGCCUGAUGCAGCGACGCCGCGUGAGGGAUGACGGCCUUCGGGUUGUAAACCUCUUUCAGCACCGACGAAGCGCAAGUGACGGUGGGUGCAGAAGAAGGACCGGCCAACUACGUGCCAGCCGCCGCCGUAA
Molecule: ribosomal RNA, 478 nt
Filed under: uncultured bacterium
Lineage: Bacteria
Description: partial 16S ribosomal RNA
Rfam family: Bacterial small subunit ribosomal RNA
Source: RNAcentral